GCCAGACUCCUACGGGAGGCAGCAGUGGGGAAUAUUGCACAAUGGGGGAAACCCUGAUGCAGCGACGCCGCGUGAGUGAAGAAGUAUUUCGGUAUGUAAAGCUCUAUCAGCAGGAACGAGACAAGACGGUACCUGACUAAGAAGCCCCGGCUAACUACGUGCCAGCAGCCGCGGUAAUACGUAGGGGGCAAGCGUUAUCCGGAAUCACUGGGUGUAAAGGGAGCGUAGACGGCUGUGCAAGCCUGAAGUGAAAGGCGGGGGCCCAACCCCUGGACUGCUUUGGGAACUGUACGGCUGGAGUGCAGGAGAGGUAAGUGGAAUUCCUAGUGUAGCGGUGAAAUGCGUAGAUAUUAGGAGGAACACCAGUGGCGAAGGCGGCUUACUGGACUGUAACUGACGUUGAGGCUCGAAAGCGUGGGGAGCAAACAGGAUUAGAUACCCUCGUA
RNAcentral lists this ribosomal RNA (446 nucleotides) under uncultured bacterium. RNAcentral's name for it is "bacterial SSU rRNA". It matches the Rfam family "Bacterial small subunit ribosomal RNA", at positions 330 to 792 of the family's 1533-position model. The record is from RNAcentral.